UACCUAGGUAGUUUAAUUAAAAUGAUGAUUUGUGGGGUCAUAGAUAUAUAAAUAGUAUUUUAGGUAA
This 67-nucleotide transfer RNA is filed under the name unidentified. Its description in RNAcentral is "Strongylium pinfaense tRNA-His". The record is from RNAcentral.